ACAAGUAUUUGGCUGUGCUUAAAUUUUCUUAUGGUGUUAUUUAUUUGAUUUUGUUGAGCAGGGUAUCUACUUACACAAUUUAAAUGUGAUGCUUGUUUUAUCGUAAUUCCUUUUAUGUGAAGUACUAAAUAGGACAAUAUAAAGUCUCAGUCUUUAAGACAAAGACCAUAGCUGAAAUUGGGCAUGUGACGUUUGUUACUAAUACAAGUCGAGGUGACCAAAAUCACGAGGAAAACCAAACAAUGAAUAUUUAUUUAUCUCUUUAUUUUUAUAGAAAGUUUGGGAAAAUAAUUUAUAGUAAGACUAUAUAUUAAAAACUGCACUAUAAGUGAGACAAGAUUACUAAACUAUUCAAUUUAAAUGUGUAAUAUUAUCUUAAUAACUAAAUUA
Molecule: long non-coding RNA, 390 nt
Filed under: Brassica napus (rape)
Lineage: Eukaryota; Viridiplantae; Streptophyta; Magnoliopsida; Brassicales; Brassicaceae
Description: long non-coding RNA (BNAP_LNC020209)
Source: RNAcentral